RNAcentral lists this ribosomal RNA (433 nucleotides) under uncultured bacterium. Its description in RNAcentral is "partial 16S ribosomal RNA". It matches the Rfam family "Bacterial small subunit ribosomal RNA", at positions 29 to 507 of the family's 1533-position model. The record is from RNAcentral.
AACGAACGCUGGCGGCAUGCCUAACACAUGCAAGUCGAACGAGACCUUCGGGUCUAGUGGCGCACGGGUGCGUAACGCGUGGGAACCUGCCCUUAGGUUCGGAAUAACUCCCCGAAAGGGGUGCUAAUACCGGAUAAUGUCUUCGGACCAAAGAUUUAUCGCCUUUGGAUGGGCCCGCGUUGGAUUAGCUAGUUGGUAGGGUAAAAGCCUACCAAGGCGACGAUCCAUAGCUGGUCUGAGAGGAUGAUCAGCCACACUGGGACUGAGACACGGCCCAGACUCCUACGGGAGGCAGCAGUGGGGAAUAUUGGACAAUGGGCGAAAGCCUGAUCCAGCAAUGCCACGUGAGUGAUGAAGGCCUUAGGGUUGUAAAGCUCUUUUACCCGGGAUGAUAAUGACAGUACCGGGAGAAUAAGCUCCGGCUAACUCCGCG